Molecule: ribosomal RNA, 517 nt
Filed under: uncultured bacterium
Lineage: Bacteria
Description: bacterial SSU rRNA
Rfam family: Bacterial small subunit ribosomal RNA
Source: RNAcentral
GAAGGCUUUCGGGUUGUAAACCUCUUUCAGGUGGGACGAAGCUUCCAGGGUUAAUAGCCCAUGGGGUGACGGUACCUCCAGAAGAAGCCCCGGCUAACUACGUGCCAGCAGCCGCGGUAAUACGUAGGGGGCAAGCGUUGUCCGGAAUCAUUGGGCGUAAAGCGCGUGUAGGCGGCUUGAUAAGUCCGGUGUGAAACCUUGGGGCUCAACCCCAAGCCUGCACCGGAUACUGUCUCGCUUGAGUUCGGGAGGGGAGAGCGGAAUUCCUAGUGUAGCGGUGAAAUGCGCAGAUAUUAGGAAGAACACCAAUGGCGAAGGCAGCUCUCUGGAACGAUACUGACGCUGAGACGCGAAAAGCGUGGGGAGCGAACAGGAUUAGAUACCCUGGUAGUCCACGCCGUAAACGAUGGGCACUAGAUGUGGGCGGUGUCGACUCCGUCCGUGUCGCAGCUAACGCACUAAGUGCCCCGCCUGGGGAGUACGGCCGCAAGGCUAAAAACUCAAAGGAAUUGACGGG